RNAcentral lists this unclassified non-coding RNA (262 nucleotides) under fungal sp. RNAcentral describes it as "partial internal transcribed spacer region". The stretch from base 1 to 46 matches the Rfam family "Eukaryotic small subunit ribosomal RNA", at positions 1786 to 1831 of the family's 1831-position model. The record is from RNAcentral. Lineage: Eukaryota; Fungi.
AAGUCGUAACAAGGUAACCGUAGGUGAACCUGCGGUUGGAUCAUUAACAAAAUCCAACUAAAACUUUGACUAGACUUCGGUUUAGUCUCUGUUUUAAAACACCUGUGAAUUGUAUAUUGUAUUUGGUGGGUUUAAAAGGACGAGCAAUCGACCACCCACCGACCUUACCUUUAAACAUUUUAUAUCCAACUUAGUCUUAAUGAAAGUUUUAUACUUAAAUUUAAUUUAACAACAACUUUUGGCAACGGAUCUCUAGGCUCUU